AAGAAAAACAUUCCAACUUGAAGGAACUAUAGUUCAAAGUGGCAGAGUAAGCAAUGUUCUCUAUAUGGAACUAAAGUUUGAAAUGGCAGCCAAGAAGUUAAAGCUCUAUCUGAUGCAAUGCAUAUUUCAAGUAAAAAUUCCUACUUCAAAUUAUGUGACACUUACUGUAUCCAGAAAAAAGGGUGCCCUAUGGGAUCCCUGCUGACUGGCCCCAUGCCAAAAGUAUUAGUUAGAGCAACUGAAGAAAAAGUUAUCAGCAAAUAUAGAAAAUAUAUCAAAUUAUAUAUCCAUUUUAUAGAUGAUAUUUUCAUCAUACUAUAGACUAUGUAGUAUAUGCAGAAAAAAUAAUUGAAGACAUUAAUAUCAAUCAACAUCUAUAGUUUAACCCUUCAAACAGAACAAGUCAGCAAAAGAAAUAGUAAACUUCUUGGGCAUUACUAUAUACAAAUAUAAUAAGAGGUAUAUUACAAAAAUUUAUAGGAAGUUAGCAAGCAUACUGAUGUAUAUCUAUGGUGCACCAUAUAAUUGCAGCAGAUACAAAAUGGUAAGUUUCCAUGCACUUAUAUAACAAGCUCUCACUGCCUACACACAUUUCACUAACCUAUAGGAAGAAUUAAAUUUUCUAAAGGAUAUCAAUAUCAAGAAUGAAUAUUACAUAAGGAAAUUUUAUAAAAUUAUACACAAUGCAAAAAAAAAAAAAAGAUUUAGCAAGAAAAACAAUGAAAUUACAGAAGCAAGCAUAAGAAAAGUAGCAAUUAAAUGACAU
This 766-nucleotide long non-coding RNA is filed under the name Androctonus crassicauda. Lineage: Eukaryota; Metazoa; Arthropoda; Arachnida; Scorpiones; Buthidae. The record is from RNAcentral.